Molecule: long non-coding RNA, 302 nt
Organism: Electrophorus electricus (electric eel)
Lineage: Eukaryota; Metazoa; Chordata; Actinopteri; Gymnotiformes; Gymnotidae
Source: RefSeq, a predicted model, not a curated record
GGAAGGGAAGUGAAGGGAAGGGUGGGGCAGUUGAUUUCUCACCUCCAGCAUCUGCACCACCCCUUCAUGCUCCCGCUUGGCAAAUAACUGAGCCUGGGGUAGGACACAGGAGACAAGCACACCGCCUGUGCCAAAUCCUGGACCGGAUAUUGCCUUGGUGGUCUGGAACUGAAGACCCUUGUGCCUGAGAGUCCAGCGAAGCCUCUGGUUUCUGGUUUUAGGACCAUUAUCAUGUCAGAAUGAGCUGGGCUAGAGUUUGGACUGUAACAGGCUAACUGAAAAUAAAGUCUUACUUUAUGUUG